GACGAACGCUGGCGGCGUGCCUAAUACAUGCAAGUAGAACGCUGAAGGAGGAGCUUGCUUCUCUGGAUGAGUUGCGAACGGGUGAGUAACGCGUAGGUAACCUGCCUGGUAGCGGGGGAUAACUAUUGGAAACGAUAGCUAAUACCGCAUAAUAGUAGAUGUUGCAUGACAUUUGCUUAAAAGGUGCAAUUGCAUCACUACCAGAUGGACCUGCGUUGUAUUAGCUAGUUGGUGAGGUAACGGCUCACCAAGGCGACGAUACAUAGCCGACCUGAGAGGGUGAUCGGCCACACUGGGACUGAGACACGGCCCAGACUCCUACGGGAGGCAGCAGUAGGGAAUCUUCGGCAAUGGACGGAAGUCCGACCGAGCAACGCCGCGUGAGUGAAGAAGGUUUUCGGAUCGUAAAGCUCUGUUGUAAGAGAAGAACGAGUGUGAGAGUGGAAAGUUCACACUGUGACGGUAUCUUACCAGAAAGGGACGGCUAACUACGUG
This 495-nucleotide ribosomal RNA is filed under the name uncultured bacterium. RNAcentral's name for it is "partial 16S ribosomal RNA". It matches the Rfam family "Bacterial small subunit ribosomal RNA", at positions 28 to 507 of the family's 1533-position model. The record is from RNAcentral.